Molecule: ribosomal RNA, 543 nt
Filed under: Fusarium solani
Lineage: Eukaryota; Fungi; Ascomycota; Sordariomycetes; Hypocreales; Nectriaceae
Description: eukaryotic LSU rRNA
Rfam family: 5.8S ribosomal RNA (bases 157-310)
Source: RNAcentral
AGGGGAACUGGGGAGGCACGAUCAUCACCCUGUGCACAUACCUAAACUAUGCUUCGGCGGGAACAGACGGCCCCGUGAAACGGGCCGCCCCCGCCAGAGGACCCCUAACUCUGUUUCUAUAAUGUUUCUUCUGAGUAAAACAAGCAAAUAAAUUAAAACUUUCAACAACGGAUCUCUUGGCUCUGGCAUCGAUGAAGAACGCAGCGAAAUGCGAUAAGUAAUGUGAAUUGCAGAAUUCAGUGAAUCAUCGAAUCUUUGAACGCACAUUGCGCCCGCCAGUAUUCUGGCGGGCAUGCCUGUUCGAGCGUCAUUACAACCCUCAGGCCCCCGGGCCUGGCGUUGGGGAUCGGCGGAGCCCCCCGUGGGCACACGCCGUCCCCCAAAUACAGUGGCGGUCCCGCCGCAGCUUCCAUCGCGUAGUAGCUAACACCUCGCGACUGGAGAGCGGCGCGGCCACGCCGUAAAACACCCAACUCUUCUGAAGUUGACCUCGAAUCAGGUAGGAAUACCCGCUGAACUUAAGCAUAUCAAUAACCGGAGGAA